AUGAACGCUGGCGGCGUGCCUAAUACAUGCAAGUCGAGCGAACAGAUGAGGAGCUUGCUCCUCUGACGUUAGCGGCGGACGGGUGAGUAACACGUGGAUAACCUACCUGUAAGACUGGGAUAACUUCGGGAAACCGGAGCUAAUACCGGAUAAUAUAUUGAACCGCAUGGUUCAAUAGUGAAAGACGGUUUUGCUGUCACUUAUAGAUGGAUCCGCGCCGCAUUAGCUAGUUGGUAAGGUAACGGCUUACCAAGGCAACGAUGCGUAGCCGACCUGAGAGGGUGAUCGGCCACACUGGAACUGAGACACGGUCCAGACUCCUACGGGAGGCAGCAGUAGGGAAUCUUCCGCAAUGGGCGAAAGCCUGACGGAGCAACGCCGCGUGAGUGAUGAAGGUCUUCGGAUCGUAAAACUCUGUUAUUAGGGAAGAACAAAUGUGUAAGUAACUAUGCACGUCUUGACGGUACCUAAUCAGAAAGCCACGGCUAACUACGUG
RNAcentral lists this ribosomal RNA (496 nucleotides) under uncultured bacterium. RNAcentral describes it as "partial 16S ribosomal RNA". It matches the Rfam family "Bacterial small subunit ribosomal RNA", at positions 29 to 507 of the family's 1533-position model. The record is from RNAcentral.